This 3400-nucleotide long non-coding RNA is filed under the name Podarcis lilfordi (Lilford's wall lizard). Lineage: Eukaryota; Metazoa; Chordata; Lepidosauria; Squamata; Lacertidae. The record is from RNAcentral.
GUCGCAAAGUGCACCUAGGAUAAUGGGAGUUUCGAACGCUGCUCUCAGAAUAAUAAUAAUAAUAAUAAUAAUAAUAUUUACACCCCACACAUGUGGCCGGGUUUCCCCCGCCACUCUUAACAAAUUAUGGUUCCCAGGAUUUUUGAGGGGAGAAGCCAUGACUGUUUAAAGUGGAAAUGAGCACUAAACUUGUGGUAGAUUUUCAGAAGUUACUUUUAUGUUGUCUGAAAUAGCACAUAAAAUAUGGAAAUCGCCAGGUAAGGAAACACUGGAAAAUGGAAUAAAGUGUUGUCUGAAUGCAGCCUGUGUCUACAGAACCAGGCCUACAACUAGGUGGAGUGAGGCUGCCACCUCAGGCAGCAGGUCUUUGGCCUUAACCCCCAAGCCACCCCUCUAUUUCCACUUCUGUUGGAGGAGAGGCCAUAUAUAAUCUGCCCUAAAGAGCAGCAGAGGGUGGAUGCUGUUCCAUUGCCAGUGUUGAAAUCGGGUUCAGCUGCUUCUGUGGGUGGAAUGGGGAGGCGCCAUUUUGCCCUUUGCCUCAGGCAAGCAAACUGUCCCUGCAUUUUUCACCACAUAACUUUUUUUAGUUAUCACCCUUGCUUUGAACCUGUGAUCUGUUGUCCCCCUUCUGUUCUGUUUAAUGUUCUAGCUGGGGGGGGAAUGAAGGUUUGGGGUUUAAUCUCUGAUUUGGAACGGAAUAGGGAGGGUAACUGAUAGGGAAAGGAAGGUUUUGUACAGAGGCACUAAGCCCUCUUUGGAUCUGUAGGACUGGCUGCCUUCGUUACUCUUUGUAAUUCAUGGAAAUUGCCAUGAAAAGACAGAUGGUUUUUAAAAGUUGACUUCUGUCACUGCUUUAUCUGUUGGGGCUCCGUCUCCCUUCUGGAGAGCAGCCUCAGCUGGUUAUAGGCAGCGGUGAUGGAAGCCGUAGCGGUACAAAUUGAGGUUAUUGACACUAUAAGUCUUCACUCUUUUUAUAUCUCUAGAUUUUCUUUUUGGCAUAUUGAUGAUUCAGUCCAGACACAGGUUACAGAAUCUACAUCCGUAUACUGUUUGCUCUGAGGCAAAAUGCCCAAGUGAGCAAUGGGGUUUGUCAAACUGCUUGGUGUGUGUUUUUUAGUUUUUUCCUUAAGAGAUACAAUGCACAGUUGGUAUGUUCAGCAUGCAAAUAGUUGUACAGUGGUGCCCCGCAAGACGAAUGCCUCGCAAGACGAAAAACUCGCUAGACGAAAGGGUUUUUUGUUUUUUGAGCUGCUUCACAAGAUGAUUUUCCCUAUGGGCUUGCUUCGCAAGACGGAAACGUCUUGCAAGUUUGUUUCCUUGUUCUUAACACCGGUAAUAUAGUUGCGACUUGACUUCGAGGAGCAACUCAUAGAACGCGGUGUGGUAGCCUUUUUUUGAGGUUUUUAAAGACUUUGGUGAUUUUUGAAGCUUUUCCAAAACUUUCCCGACACCGUGCUUCGCAAGACGAAAAAAACCGCAAGACGACAAAACUCGCGGAACGAAUUAAUUUCGUCUUGCGAGGCACCACUGUAAUAUGGUUUGGAAGGUAACUGUUUGGGGCAUAAGGAUUAGACUAUAGAAUCAUAGGUUUUGUAGCUGGCAACAUUUUUCUUGAACACGUUUUGAAAAUCUUUUGUGCACCAUUUAUAUAAUGAAAGUUUGAAACUUUGCCAUGACCAUAUAUUUGGAGGUACUUUGAAAACCUCAGUCUCUGGUUUAGUUUAAAAAUAUGAAUAUUUAAAUCUAGCUCCUCCCUCCCCAGUAAAAAGGCUCCAUUAUUUGACAGCCUUGAUUCAGCAAUGGUUUAUUUCACUGAUGUGUAUGUGGUGUUUGGCACCUUAUUUAUGAACAUAAAUAGGGUUCUUUAGUUUACUUGAAAAAACCAAAACUAAAACUUCUGUUACACCUGCAUAGGAGACUUGAGCAAGUUGUAAAAAAGCUAAUUUGGCAGUCCUCUAGGAAGUAAGAGGCAAAACCAUCCUGUGCAAAGGUGUUAUGAAUGUGCUUUGUCAGUGUAAGGCUGGCUUUAAAAAAAAAAUUCAGUGUUUUAAAAGUUUAUUUUUUUUAAAAAAAGACUCCAAGAUUCUGAAUGCAAAAUCCAUUUUAGUGUGUGGAUGUACACGUAUGAGAGUUGGUGGAAUGUACUUUGUGUGCCUUCUGCUUUGCUUGAACCCAAGGACCCUUCUCUGUGCCAUCGGCCACCUCUUCCAUUCCAAAAGAGAGAGAGAGAGAGAGCUCCAUUUUGCACAUGGUUUGAUGGUACUGUUGGCGGCGACCGGCCAUGGAGCAUUUUUAAUUUUAAGCGUGAGUGUGGCAAUAAAUCUAUGCCUGCUAUGCUUGUUAAAAUAACCGCCUUGGCUUUAAAAGUAAUAUGAGGAUGGGUAUGAAGGUUGAAGGGAAGUGCUGAUGAGAUAGUGCAAGUCUGUGUGUGUGUGUGUGUGUGUGUGUGUGUGCACGCUCUCUCCGGUGUGUUUGCAGCAGCAUGGAGGGUUGCCUAGGCCUGAACAAUAGAGAGGUAGCUGCAGCUUGGGGAGUGGAGGACCUAGAGCAGAUGUAGAGCAGCCAGGCUAGAAUGUGGAAGGAGGUGGGGGAGGGCUUAUUUGCAUAACUGAUUGUUGCCCUGGGGAUUAAGCAGGGGGAAGGGAGGCAGUGGGAGUACAAAGAAAAACACAGAAGAUGAAGAAUAUUUCUCUCUCUUCCCUCUCUCUUUCUCGCUCUCUCUCUCUCCCCCUCCCCCAUUUCCCUUUACAAGUGCUCUGUCAGUUCUCCUGUUGGGUGCUGGCUGUUGCCCACGCAGCUCACUCAUGCCAUCCUGCUGACAUACACUUCUGCUGGGUGCAUCGCCCGGUUGUAUUCCAUUCUUUUUCUUUCUCUCUUCCCCCCUUCUUUCCUCGCAAGAGAGGCAGGAGGGAGGUGCACGAUGAAGAGAUGGAGAGGUGGAGGCCCAGCAUCGCCAAGGGAUGGGUGUGUUUUUUUAUUUUAAAAAAAAAACAGCUCCUGAUGCCUGCUGUAAAGGCAAUGACUCGGCAGCCUGUAAUGUUAAGAUAAAGUCCAAAGGAAGACCUCUGGCUGUGUCAUGAGCGAACUCUCUAUGCACCCUGCAAUAUUUGAUCUUGUGCAUUGAAAAUUAGCUAGGCUUUUUUCUGUCAACUCUCUUUCUUGCUUUUCACUUUUCUUGCUGUGCCUCUUUUUAAUUGCGCGCGUGCAUGUGUUUUUGUAAAACUGUUUGCGUUUUGGUUGAAUGUAGACGUUUCUAAUUUAUAAAGAGUUACUGCUUUCUGCCCUCACGCCUUGGAGCAAAGUAUAUAUAUCUUUAAACUACCACUGUCUUGCCUGCUAUGCUUGUAUGUGAAUCCUGCCUCACGGGGGUGCAAAAGCAAGCUCUAUCAUCCGGCUCCUU